Molecule: ribosomal RNA, 433 nt
Filed under: uncultured bacterium
Lineage: Bacteria
Description: partial 16S ribosomal RNA
Rfam family: Bacterial small subunit ribosomal RNA
Source: RNAcentral
AACGAACGCUGGCGGCAUGCCUAACACAUGCAAGUCGAACGAGACCCUCGUGUUUAAUGGCGCACGAGUGCGUAACGCGUUGUAACCUGGGCUUAGGUUGUGAAGAACGCCCCGAAAGGCUUGCAAAUGCCGGUAAAAGUCAGCGAUGCAAAGCAUUAUCGCCUUUGGAUGGGCCCGCGUUGGAUUAGCUGGUUGGUAGGGUAAAAGCCUACCAAGGCGACGAUCCAUAGCUGGUCUGAGAGGGUGAUCGGCCACACUGGGACUGAGACACGGCCCAGACUCCUACGGGAGGCAGCAGUGGGGAAUAUUGCACAAUGGGCGAAAGCCUGAUGCAGCGAUGCCGCGUGAAUGAUGAAGGAUUUCGGGAUGUAAAGCUCUAUUAGCCGGGAUGAUAAUGACAGUACCGGGCUAAUAAGCCCCGGCUAACUCCGUG